Molecule: ribosomal RNA, 484 nt
Filed under: uncultured bacterium
Lineage: Bacteria
Description: partial 16S ribosomal RNA
Rfam family: Bacterial small subunit ribosomal RNA
Source: RNAcentral
AAUGAACGUUGGCGGCGUGGAUUAGGCAUGCAAGUCGUGCGAGAAGCCCCCUUCGGGGGGUGGAAAGCGGCGAAAGGGAGAGUAACGCGUGGAUAGCUACCUUCAGGCUCGGGAUAGCUGCGGGAAACUGCAGGUAAUACCGAAUAACAUCUCCGGAUCAAAGGUGUGAUUCCGCCUGGAGACGGGUCCGCGUCCUAUUAGCUAGUUGGUGGGGUAACGGCCUACCAAGGCAACGAUGGGUACGGGGCGUGAGAGCGCAACCCCGCUCACUGGGACUGAGACACUGCCCAGACACCUACGGGUGGCGGCAGUCGAGGAUCUUCGGCAAUGGCCGCAAGUCUGACCGAGCGACGCCGCGUGCGGGAUGAAGGCCUUCGGGUUGUAAACCGCUGUCAGUUAGGAGGAAAUCACAUGGGGUUCUCUCCAUGUGUUGACCUAUCUUCAGAGGAAGGACGGGCUAAGUUCGUGCCAGCAGCCGCGGUAA